RNAcentral lists this ribosomal RNA (439 nucleotides) under uncultured prokaryote. RNAcentral describes it as "bacterial SSU rRNA". It matches the Rfam family "Bacterial small subunit ribosomal RNA", at positions 355 to 796 of the family's 1533-position model. The record is from RNAcentral.
UCGAGAAUCUUCGGCAAUGCGCGAAAGCGUGACCGAGCAAUGCCGCGUGCGGGAUGAAGGCCCUCGGGUUGUAAACCGCGAAAGUGAGUAGGAAGGACCUGUGAAGAGCAGGUUUUGACCGAUACACAGUAAGGACGGGCUAAGUUCGUGCCAGCAGCCGCGGUAACACGAACCGUCCAAACGUUAUUCGGAAUCAUUGGGCUUAAAGGGUGCGUAGGCGGUGCGUUAAGUCGGGUGUGAAAUCCCUCAGCUCAACUGAGGAACUGCGCCCGAUACUGACGUGCUCGAGGGAGACAGAGGUGAGCGGAACUGAUGGUGGAGCGGUGAAAUGCGUUGAUAUCAUCAGGAACACCGGUGGCGAAAGCGGCUCACUGGGUCUCUUCUGACGCUGAGGCACGAAAGCUAGGGUAGCGAACGGGAUUAGAUACCCCCGUAGUCC